RNAcentral lists this ribosomal RNA (437 nucleotides) under uncultured bacterium. RNAcentral's name for it is "bacterial SSU rRNA". It matches the Rfam family "Bacterial small subunit ribosomal RNA", at positions 32 to 449 of the family's 1533-position model. The record is from RNAcentral.
AAUCAACGCUGGCGGCGUGCCUCAGACAUGCAAGUCGAACGCGAAAGUUCCCUUCGGGGGAUGAGUAGAGUGGCGCACGGGUGAGUAACACGUAGGUAAUCUACCUUCGGACGGGGAAUAACAACCGGAAACGGUUGCUAAUACCGCAUAAUGCAGCGGCACCUAAUGGUGACAGUUGUUAAAGCGGGGGAUCGAAAGACCUCGCGUCUGAAGAGGAGCCUGCGGCGGAUUAGCUAGNGGUAGGGUAGCGGCCUACCAAGGCUACGAUCCGUAGCCGGCCUGAGAGGGCGGUCGGCCACACUGACACUGACAUACGGGUCAGACUCCUACGGGAGGCAGCAGUCGGGAAUUUUGGGCAAUGGGCGAAAGCCUGACCCAGCAACGCCGCGUGAAGGAUGAAAUCCCUCGGGAUGUAAACUUCGCAAGAACGGGAAGAA